RNAcentral lists this long non-coding RNA (1361 nucleotides) under Venturia canescens. RNAcentral's name for it is "uncharacterized LOC122413100, transcript variant X1". Lineage: Eukaryota; Metazoa; Arthropoda; Insecta; Hymenoptera; Ichneumonidae. The record is from RNAcentral.
AGGCCAUAAAUGUGGUAUUUAUAUUUGACAGAUUGUUAAACUCCUACUGGUUCGUCGAAAUUGUGUCGCCUGUGUGCUGUGUAUACGUUCGACUGAACGAUCAAGUAAAGUUUGUAAACACAAAGAGGGCGCCACGAGCGCGCAACCGAAAAUGGACGAUCGAGUAUUGUUCACCUAUACACGACUACACACGUCGACGUUCAACGAGUAACCGAGAAAACCGAACUGUGGCUGCAGAUAUGCUAUACGAUCCGAUGGUAUUGUAACGAUAAUUGUGAAAAUUGAAGAGUCUCGCUUGAGCCCGUGGAGUGAGUGAAGUUUUACGUCAGUGUAUACGUCUCGUGGUUCGAUAUGCUCGGACAGCUCGGCGAAACUUGUUUCUGUCGAUACUCUCCCAUUGUAGUUAUACCUCAUACACGUAUAUCUCACGUUUUAUACACGUAUAUAAAUUACAAGUAUAUAUGCAAUCGUAAUGGAGAAUCGGCGGAGAGAAAACUAUUCUCGAUCUCCACUGCGGAACGAUUGCUAUCAGACUUUGCUCUCUGUGUGUCGGCGUCCACACGAUGUACUCUGAUCACCGCUCCGCAGCACCUUCAAUUCUCCUUUUCUGUACGUCAAACUUUUUCAACUAUCCUCUCUAACUCGAGUCCACAUCGCGAUGAACCAAUUGAAAAAUAAUAAUCGCAAAUUAAAUACGAAAGUGAUCAUAAUAAUUGAGUUAAUAGUUACAAUGAUCGAGUUUUCAGUGAAAAUGAAAAACUUUCCAAUUUCCCAACGUCUCUCACCGAGCCACGAUUUAUAUUCGACGUUUAUUUCCGUCUCUUGAAAGAAAAUCGAAAAUCCACGAGCCUGUCUACGAUUUUUCCACGAGGCUUUUUUCAACGUGACUGAACACUGAUAUAAUAUAUGUCGUAAAAGAAGCCAAAGCGUAAACGGAAAAUCGAGCGUCGGUCGAGGGCUCCCUCACGAAAACUUGUCGGUCGAUGAUUACUUCGUCACAGCGAGGCUUCAUGAUGCUAUCGCGGGCGUUUUUUCUCCCACACCGGAGGAUCCGAAGCAUUUUCGUCACGCCACGAAAUGAUCUUUCGAUGAUGGAGAAUCGUCCACAGUUUCAAGAGGAAAAAAACACUCGAACAGCGCAAAAAAUGUCAUGCCAAGCGAAAACCUUUUGUCGUUAGAAGGCUAGAGGUUCGCAUCGUCCAAGAGGUGAACAAAAGGGCUCGUUUCCGAGUACAUUAUUAUCUCGGAGAAGGAGAAAAAAAUGUGGAAGAAAAUAGGGAGCGAAAAUUUGAUUCGUACGAUGGGACUCGCGAUUUUGCGCUGGAAAUAUGGCGCAGCGAAAGACUCGAAAAUACAUACUU